RNAcentral lists this ribosomal RNA (247 nucleotides) under uncultured bacterium. Its description in RNAcentral is "partial 16S ribosomal RNA". It matches the Rfam family "Bacterial small subunit ribosomal RNA", at positions 349 to 608 of the family's 1533-position model. The record is from RNAcentral.
UAGCAGUGGGGAAUAUUGCGCAAUGGGCGAAAGCCUGACGCAGCGACGCCGCGUGAGGGAUGAAGGCCUUCGGGUUGUAAACCUCUUUCAGCAGGGACGAAGCGCAAGUGACGGUACCUGCAGAAGAAGCACCGGCCAACUACGUGCCAGCAGCCGCGGUAAUACGUAGGGUGCGAGCGUUGUACGGAAUUAUUGGGCGUAAAGAGCUCGUAGGCGGUUUGUCGCGUCGACUGUGAAAACCCGAGGC